Long non-coding RNA from Gallus gallus (chicken), 1772 nucleotides. Lineage: Eukaryota; Metazoa; Chordata; Aves; Galliformes; Phasianidae. The record is from Ensembl.
CUCUUUUCCUCCUAUCGAUGUAAACAAACAGCCUGUGCCACUGGAGCAAUGUUUAUGUUAGCAAAUACCCCGAGGUACUUCACAGAAAUCAAUCUGCAGAGAAAAAUUGCAUUAGACAAUAAAAAUUCAGCAACUCCCAAACUCGAGCCCAAGCCCUACUGCAUGUCAGGGGUGAAGGGUGAGGACAGAAAUGCGGAGGCCAACGCUGUUAAUUUUUCAGAGCUUAGCUCACAGAACGCCGCCCUCUGAGCCCUGAAUUCGCGCCAGUUACAACUCGGUUCGAUCAAAUUCAAGGACAGGAGAAACUGCGGGAGAGAAAGCAAGCAGAAUUGGCUACAAGCUGCAGGAAUACGUGUUCAGAGGAAACUUCUGCAGUGGAGCGAACCGGGAGGGAACCACUCACACAAAAACCAAAUGACUUGCAGCAGAUUAAUGGCCGCUAUUUAAUAUGUUCUUGUGAACCUGCAUGGAUCGUCACAGUGGCAACUGUCCUUACACAGCCUGCUUCAUCUGUCUGCGAACUGCUCCUGGGAGGGUGUACAGCAGAAAUGAAACUUCAGAAUUUCGCUUUCGUUUGUGUAUGUUUCUCCUUCUUCUUGUUUAAUGGAUAUCUCCCAGCAGGAGCUGGUGGGACUGGUGAGUCCUUCCAAGAUCCGUCGUCUCACAACUGGGCAGCAUGAUAUGUUUCAGACAGCCACAAAGAAACCCUUCAAACCCUGGAAUAAAAUUUAUAUGAAAAGCACAUCGGUACAAAGGUACAUCUGUAUCCACAGGCAACAGUGAUUACAUCUGAUUAUUUUUAGUGUAAAUACAUUUUCAGAAUAAAAGGCACACAGCAGCUUUAAACUACUUAGCUGAACACGCUCCUCCUGCACCUGUGGGAUUUUAAUAUUCCUGUGCUUUUAACAGCAUUGCACCACAGGGAUGAGAUCAGUGACUGAUCCAUUUUACUGAGUUUGAAAAAUGUAAUUUAGGAAGGGUUAUUAUUGCAGGAAUGAAGUAGAAAUCUCGUUGGUAAUUAUACCUCUUUACAUGUUUGAAGACCAUAAAUUUUAUUUUCCUGACGCCUGAAAGAAAAUAAACUUUAACACAGAUCUUCCAAGGAAGAAACACAAACUUUUUCAGCCCACAACUUGAAUGGGUCCACCUCAAGGGGGCCAAAAAAGAGCAAACAGUAGCUGUGCAGCAGUGAUCCCAGACAGGAGGCUGCAGCAGACCAACAGUGGGUAGACUUGGCAGGGCUGGGGUGUUGCUGGUCCCAUGUGGGAGCAGAGCCACAUUCAGCAGCACCACACAAUUUUUGGGAAGCAUAAGUCAGUCAGCAUCAUCUCAGCACUUGAUAUGUAACUUCGAUAAAACUGAGAGGAGAGUUGAAUUAACCAGCGAGCAGCAAUGCAGGGACAGACUAUCAGCCACGGAGAGGUUCAAUCACUGCGCAGCUACUCGACAUGAGAGAGCCUGGUCUUUGCAGUGAAACCUCCCUGUCAGAGUGAUUCACAUCAGUUAUUCUUUCUCUUUCCUAUUUGCUGCUAUCAGAAUCCGGAAGAGUCAGCGCAUGAUCAAGUGCUUCUUUGAUCUCCCGUGUAUGUGAAGACAGAAAUAUCCAAGCUGAAGAACUGAGCCCCAUGGGUCUGACAAAGGAUUCAAUUACAACCCAUGGAAUUCAGUUCUCAAAGCUGAGGAUACACGACAUUCGUUUCAAGGCCGUUCUGAUGUGCAGCAGUAUCUCAUCCUCUGCUCUCUCUCCCCGGUGCUUGGCUUUCCUCCAGGUG